GAUGAACGCUGGCGGCGUGCCUAAUACAUGCAAGUCGAGCGAACGGACGAGAAGCUUGCUUCUCUGAUGUUAGCGGCGGACGGGUGAGUAACACGUGGAUAACCUACCUAUAAGACUGGGAUAACUUCGGGAAACCGGAGCUAAUACCGGAUGAUAUUUUGAACCGCAUGGUUCAAAAGUGAAAGACGGUCUUGCUGUCACUUAUAGAUGGAUCCGCGCUGCAUUAGCUAGUUGGUAAGGUAACGGCUUACCAAGGCAACGAUGCAUAGCCGACCUGAGAGGGUGAUCGGCCACACUGGAACUGAGACACGGUCCAGACUCCUACGGGAGGCAGCAGUAGGGAAUCUUCCGCAAUGGGCGAAAGCCUGACGGAGCAACGCCGCGUGAGUGAUGAAGGUCUUCGGAUCGUAAAACUCUGUUAUUAGGGAAGAACAUAUGUGUAAGUAACUGUGCACAUCUGGACGGUACCUAAUCAGAAAGCCACGGCGAACUACGU
Molecule: ribosomal RNA, 496 nt
Filed under: uncultured bacterium
Lineage: Bacteria
Description: partial 16S ribosomal RNA
Rfam family: Bacterial small subunit ribosomal RNA
Source: RNAcentral